RNAcentral lists this long non-coding RNA (603 nucleotides) under Capra hircus (goat). RNAcentral describes it as "lncRNA (ENSCHIG00010010525.1)". Lineage: Eukaryota; Metazoa; Chordata; Mammalia; Artiodactyla; Bovidae. The record is from RNAcentral.
CAUCAAGGCAUGCAGCAGGACUUGCCCCUGAGGCUGCUUCUGGUCCUGGGGCCUGUGCAAGGGUCCAUAGGAACCCUGUCAUACCCUGAGCCUGAGCACUUACAGAGCUACACUGGCUCACCUGGUGACCUCAGGGAGGCCUGAUUGUGAGAAGACAGAGGCAGAGAGAUGACGACAAAGAUGCUGGAUCAAGCUGCACCUGAAACCAUACACCAAAAGGUCACAUGAAACUCCCUUCCCACUAGCACCAGCUCCUCGUUUUUCUUAAAGAAGUAAUUUCCAACUGAAAGCAUCUUAGCCUCUCUAAGUACCAUUAUGGAUUAAGAAGGAUUAGGACUUUCUCCUCCAUCCAUUCACAGGCUUUGAUGUGUGGACCCUGGGACUGGCACUGCUGGCCCUAGGAUAAAUUACAUCCUCAGUUGGGGCCUCAGUCAGAUGAGGGGGCAGACUUAAGACAAAUUCACACUGCCCUGUGCUGAGUUUUCUGGCAAGUUUGAUUAGGGAAGAACUGACUCAGAGAGGGCUUCCCAGAGGAGGUGACAUGUGCCUUGAACUUGAGGGGAGGAUAGCAUUUCGUCCAAGAGAAGAGAGCAUGUGGGCACA